This 468-nucleotide ribosomal RNA is filed under the name uncultured bacterium. Its description in RNAcentral is "partial 16S ribosomal RNA". It matches the Rfam family "Bacterial small subunit ribosomal RNA", at positions 28 to 507 of the family's 1533-position model. The record is from RNAcentral.
GACGAACGCUGGCGGCGUGCUUAACACAUGCAAGUCGAACGGAAAGGCCCUGCUUUUGUGGGGUGCUCGAGUGGCGAACGGGUGAGUAACACGUGAGUAACCUGCCCUUGACUUUGGGAUAACUUCAGGAAACUGGGGCUAAUACCGGAUAGGAGCUCCUGCUGCAUGGUGGGGGUUGGAAAGUUUCGGCGGUUGGGGAUGGACUCGCGGCUUAUCAGCUUGUUGGUGGGGUAGUGGCUUACCAAGGCUUUGACGGGUAGCCGGCCUGAGAGGGUGACCGGCAACAUUGGGACUGAGAUAGGGCCCAGACUCCUACGGGAGGCAGCAGUGGGGAAUAUUGCACAAUGGGCGGAAGCCUGAUGCAGCAACGCCGCGUGCGGGAUGACGGCCUUCGGGCUGUAAACCGCUUUCGCCUGUGACGAAGCGUGAGUGACGGUAAUGGGUAAAGAAGCACCGGCUAACUACGUG